GAUACGUCUCCUGCUUGUCAUCCCCAGCGAAUGGAGACUCACCCGUCACCAGCAUGUAGGCUAUGACACCCACACUCCUGAGAAACAAACACAUGGAAGAGUCACAACAUGCAGAGAAACACAGGAUUACCAGAGAAUCCUUGCAACCAGUGACCAAGAAAAAAACCAACUCAAACUGUAAACAACUAUUAGCCUCUGCAGAGCUACUCUGUGGUUUGUGGCUUUACACAACAAGGGAUCACCUCCACUGUCAUUUACAAAUAAACAUGUGUGAUUGUCUAUUGGCUCUGUGUUUCAGACACAAACACAAAAGACAGAAUGAUCUACGAAGACCCCUGAACAUGCUCCAGAGUGAAGCUGGUUAUGUAAAAGUUAACUCACCAUAGGUCAGUCGCUGUUGUGAUUGGCUCAUAAUUUAGGAUCUCUGGAGCUGAAAGAAGAAACAAAAGUUGUGAUUCAAUACUUCCUUUUUAAAAAUACUUACAUGUUUGGCUGAAUUAGAUUAGAGACGCAGCCAAAUGUAAGAUCCAACUGUUGUUUAGUGAUCUCACAUUUCCAGUCAUUUUCUCUUUUUUUAAGUCAUGCCACAGUUGUUUAGAAGACCACUGCGGAUAAUACAGCUUUCUUGUGAGCAAUGAA
Labrus mixtus (cuckoo wrasse) is the source of this 639-nucleotide long non-coding RNA. RefSeq lists it as uncharacterized. The transcript has 2 exons. The record is from RefSeq and is a predicted model, not a curated record. NCBI's taxonomy places the organism in Eukaryota, Metazoa, Chordata, Actinopteri, Labriformes, Labridae.